CUACAAAGGAAUUGACGGGGCCCGCACAAGCGGUGGAGCAUGUGGUUUAAUUCGAUGAUACGCGAAGAACCUUACCGGGGUUUGACAUGCAGGUGAUCGCCGUUGAAAGACGGUUUCCUCUUCGGAGGCACCUGCACAGGUGCUGCAUGGCUGUCGUCAGCUCGCGUCGUGAGAUGUUCGGUUAAGUCCGCUAACGAGCGCAACCCUCACUGUGUGUUAUAUGUGUCACACGGGACCGCCGGUCUUAAGCCGGAGGAAGGUGGGAUGACGUCAAGUCAGCAUGGCCUUUAUAUCCUGGGCUACACACACGCUACAAUGGCCAACACAAUAGGUUGCUAAGCCGCGAGGUGGAGCCAAUCCAUAAAGUUGGUCUCAGUUCAGAUUGUAGGCUGCAACCCGCCUGCAUGAAGAUGGAGUUGCUAGUAACCGCAGGUCAGCUAUACUGCGGUGAAUACGUUCCCGGGGCUU
RNAcentral lists this ribosomal RNA (468 nucleotides) under uncultured Leptolinea sp. Its description in RNAcentral is "bacterial SSU rRNA". It matches the Rfam family "Bacterial small subunit ribosomal RNA", at positions 903 to 1382 of the family's 1533-position model. The record is from RNAcentral. Lineage: Bacteria; Bacillati; Chloroflexota; Anaerolineae; Anaerolineales; Anaerolineaceae.